GGGAACGUGCCCUUCGGUUCGGAAUAACUCAGGGAAACUUGAGCUAAUACCGGAUACGCCCUUUUGGGGAAAGGCUUGACUGCCGAAGGAUCGGCCCGCGUCUGAUUAGCUAGUUGGUGAGGUUANGGCUCACCAAGGCGACNAUCAGUAGCUGGUCUGAGAGGAUGAUCAGCCACACUGGGACUGAGACACGGCCCANACUCCUACGGGAGGCAGCAGUGGGGAAUAUUGGACAAUGGGGGCAACCCUGAUCCAGCCAUGCCGCGUGAGUGAUGACGGCCUUAGGGUUGUAAAGCUCUUUUCUCCGGGACGAUAAUGACGGUACCGGAGGAAUAAGCCCCGGCUAACUUCGUGCCAGCAGCCGCGGUAAUACGAAGGGGGCUAGCGUUGCUCGGAAUCACUGGGCGUAAAGGGCGCGUAGGCGGCUGAUUUAGUCGAGGGUGAAAGCCCGUGGCUCAACCACGGAAUGGCCUUCAAUACUGGUUGGCUUGAGACCGGAAGAGGACAGCGGAACUGCGAGU
RNAcentral lists this ribosomal RNA (521 nucleotides) under Methylobacterium sp. AMS99. Its description in RNAcentral is "bacterial SSU rRNA". It matches the Rfam family "Bacterial small subunit ribosomal RNA", at positions 120 to 674 of the family's 1533-position model. Lineage: Bacteria; Pseudomonadati; Pseudomonadota; Alphaproteobacteria; Hyphomicrobiales; Methylobacteriaceae. The record is from RNAcentral.